UACAGAGGUCCCAAGCGUUGUUCGGAUUCAUUGGGCGUAAAGGGUGCGUAGGCGGCGCGGUAAGUCGGGUGUGAAAUCUCGGGGCUUAACUCCGAAACUGCAUUCGAUACUGCCGUGCUUGAGGACUGGAGAGGAGACUGGAAUUUACGGUGUAGCGGUGAAAUGCGUAGAUAUCGUAAGGAAGACCAGUGGCGAAGGCGAGUUUCUGGACAGUAACUGACGCUGAGGCACGAAGGCCAGGGGAGCAAACGGG
This 253-nucleotide ribosomal RNA is filed under the name uncultured bacterium. RNAcentral's name for it is "partial 16S ribosomal RNA". It matches the Rfam family "Bacterial small subunit ribosomal RNA", at positions 524 to 776 of the family's 1533-position model. The record is from RNAcentral.